RNAcentral lists this transfer RNA (73 nucleotides) under Bacteroidota bacterium. Its description in RNAcentral is "Bacteroidetes bacterium (activated sludge metagenome) tRNA-Thr". It matches the Rfam family "tRNA". Rfam says of the family: Transfer RNA (tRNA) molecules are approximately 80 nucleotides in length. Their secondary structure includes four short double-helical elements and three loops (D, anti-codon, and T loops). Lineage: Bacteria; Pseudomonadati; Bacteroidota. The record is from RNAcentral. RNAcentral also lists the same sequence under 2 other names.
GCUGGCAUAGCUCAGCUGGUAGAGCAGCUGAUUUGUAAUCAGCAGGUCGGGGGUUCAAGUCCCUCUGCCAGCU